RNAcentral lists this ribosomal RNA (483 nucleotides) under uncultured bacterium. RNAcentral's name for it is "bacterial SSU rRNA". It matches the Rfam family "Bacterial small subunit ribosomal RNA", at positions 28 to 502 of the family's 1533-position model. The record is from RNAcentral.
GAUGAACGCUAGCGGCAGGCCUAACACAUGCAAGUCGAGGGGCAUCACAGUCUAGUUCGCUAGACGGGUGGCGACCGGCGCACGGGUGCGUAACGCGUAUGUAACCUACCAUUGACAGGGGGAUAGUCAGAGGAAACUUUGAAUAAUACCGCAUAACAUAUAUAAGAGGCAUCUUUUGUAUAUCAAAAUUACGAUGGUCAAUGAUGGGCAUGCGUUUGAUUAGAUAGUUGGUAAGGUAACGGCUUACCAAGUCGACGAUCAAUAGGGGUCCUGAGAGGAUAAUCCCCCACACUGGUACUGAGAUACGGACCAGACUCCUACGGGAGGCAGCAGUGAGGAAUAUUGGGCAAUGGACGGAAGUCUGACCCAGCCAUGCCGCGUGCAGGAAGACGGCCCUAUGGGUUGUAAACUGCUUUUGUAUGAGGGUAAACGCAGAUACGAGUAUCUGUCUGAAAGUAUCAUACGAAUAAGGAUCGGCUAACU